UUAAGCAUAUCAAUAAGCGGAGGAAAAGAAACCAACAGGGAUUGCUCUAGUAACGGCGAGUGAAGCAGCAAUAGCUCAAAUUUGAAAUCUGGCGUCUUCGACGUCCGAGUUGUAAUUUGUAGAGGAUGCUUCUGAGUAACCACCGACCUAAGUUCCUUGGAACAGGACGUCAUAGAGGGUGAGAAUCCCGUAUGCGGUCGGAAAGGUGCUCUAUACGUAGCUCCUUCGACGAGUCGAGUUGUUUGGGAAUGCAGCUCUAAAUGGGAGGUAAAUUUCUUCUAAAGCUAAAUAUUGGCCAGAGACCGAUAGCGCACAAGUAGAGUGAUCGAAAGAUGAAAAGCACUUUGGAAAGAGAGUUAAAAAGCACGUGAAAUUGUUAAAAGGGAAGGGAUUGCAACCAGACUUGCUCGCGGUGUUCCGCCGGUCUUCUGACCGGUCUACUCGCCGCGUUGCAGGCCAGCAUCGUCUGGUGCCGCUGGAUAAGACUUGAGGAAUGUAGCUCCCUCGGGAGUGUUAUAGCCUCUUGUGAUGCAGCGAGCGCCGGGCGAGGUCCGCGCUUCGGCUAGGAUGCUGGCGUAAUGGUCGUAAUCCGCCCGUCUUGAAACACGGACCAAGGAGUCUAACAUCUAUGCGAGUGUUCGGGUGUCAAACCCCUACGCGUAAUGAAAGUGAACGGAGGUGAGAACCGCAAGGUGCAUCAUCGACCGAUCCUGAUGUCUUCGGAUGGAUUUGAGUAAGAGCAUAGCUGUUGGGACCCGAAAGAUGGUGAACUAUGCCUGAAUAGGGUGAAGCCAGAGGAAACUCUGGUGGAGGCUCGCAGCGGUUCUGACGUGCAAAUCGAUCGUCAAAUUUGGGUAUAGGGGCGAAAGACUAAUCGAACCAUCUAGUAGCUGGUUCCUGCCG
This 903-nucleotide ribosomal RNA is filed under the name Cladosporium delicatulum. RNAcentral describes it as "LSU rRNA". It matches the Rfam family "Eukaryotic large subunit ribosomal RNA", at positions 34 to 963 of the family's 3401-position model. Lineage: Eukaryota; Fungi; Ascomycota; Dothideomycetes; Cladosporiales; Cladosporiaceae. The record is from RNAcentral.